This 1517-nucleotide ribosomal RNA is filed under the name Campylobacter coli. RNAcentral's name for it is "bacterial SSU rRNA". It matches the Rfam family "Bacterial small subunit ribosomal RNA". The record is from RNAcentral. Lineage: Bacteria; Pseudomonadati; Campylobacterota; Epsilonproteobacteria; Campylobacterales; Campylobacteraceae.
UUUAUGGAGAGUUUGAUCCUGGCUCAGAGUGAACGCUGGCGGCGUGCCUAAUACAUGCAAGUCGAACGAUGAAGCUUCUAGCUUGCUAGAAGUGGAUUAGUGGCGCACGGGUGAGUAAGGUAUAGUUAAUCUGCCCUACACAAGAGGACAACAGUUAGAAAUGACUGCUAAUACUCCAUACUCCUUCUUAACACAAGUUAAGUUGGGAAAGUUUUUUCGGUGUAGGAUGAGACUAUAUUGUAUCAGCUAGUUGGUGAGGUAAUGGCUCACCAAGGCUAUGACGCAUAACUGGUCUGAGAGGAUGAUCAGUCACACUGGAACUGAGACACGGUCCAGACUCCUACGGGAGGCAGCAGUAGGGAAUAUUGCGCAAUGGGGGAAACCCUGACGCAGCAACGCCGCGUGGAGGAUGACACUUUUCGGAGCGUAAACUCCUUUUCUUAGGGAAGAAUUCUGACGGUACCUAAGGAAUAAGCACCGGCUAACUCCGUGCCAGCAGCCGCGGUAAUACGGAGGGUGCAAGCGUUACUCGGAAUCACUGGGCGUAAAGGACGCGUAGGCGGAUUAUCAAGUCUUUUGUGAAAUCUAAUGGCUUAACCAUUAAACUGCUUGAGAAACUGAUAAUCUAGAGUGAGGGAGAGGCAGAUGGAAUUGGUGGUGUAGGGGUAAAAUCCGUAGAGAUCACCAAGAAUACCCAUUGCGAAGGCGAUCUGCUAGAACUCAACUGACGCUAAUGCGUGAAAGCGUGGGGAGCAAACAGGAUUAGAUACCCUGGUAGUCCACGCCCUAAACGAUGUAUACUAGUUGUUGCUGUGCUAGUCAUGGCAGUAAUGCACCUAACGGAUUAAGUAUACCGCCUGGGGAGUACGGUCGCAAGAUUAAAACUCAAAGGAAUAGACGGGGACCCGCACAAGCGGUGGAGCAUGUGGUUUAAUUCGAUGAUACGCGAAGAACCUUACCUGGGCUUGAUAUCCUAAGAACCUUGUAGAGAUACGAGGGUGCUAGCUUGCUAGAACUUAGUGACAGGUGCUGCACGGCUGUCGUCAGCUCGUGUCGUGAGAUGUUCGGUUAAGUCCGGCAACGAGCGCAACCCACGUAUUUAGUUGCUAACAGUUUGGCUGAGCACUCUAAAUAUACUGCCUUCGUAAGGAGGAGGAAGGUGUGGACGACGUCAAGUCAUCAUGGCCCUUAUGCCCAGGGCGACACACGUGCUACAAUGGCAUAUACAAUGAGACGCAAUACCGCGAGGUGGAGCAAAUCUAUAAAAUAUGUCCCAGUUCGGAUUGUUCUCUGCAACUCGAGAGCAUGAAGCCGGAAUCGCUAGUAAUCGUAGAUCAGCCAUGCUACGGUGAAUACGUUCCCGGGUCUUGUACUCACCGCCCGUCACACCAUGGGAGUUGAUUUCACUCGAAGCCGGAAUACUAAACUAGUUACCGUCCACAGUGGAAUCAGCGACUGGGGUGAAGUCGUAACAAGGUAACCGUAGGAGAACCUGCGGUUGGAUCACCUCCUUUCUA